RNAcentral lists this long non-coding RNA (1818 nucleotides) under Lathyrus oleraceus (garden pea). RNAcentral's name for it is "Pisum sativum (pea) long non-coding RNA (PSAT_LNC002751)". Lineage: Eukaryota; Viridiplantae; Streptophyta; Magnoliopsida; Fabales; Fabaceae. The record is from RNAcentral.
UUUUAAUUGAGGAACAAAUUGGAAUUGAAAUAUUGAACAAUAAGUCAAACUUGGAAAACGGUUUUGGAUCCAUAAAGAGGAGCAAAAUAGUCUCAUUCAUUUCAUUUCAAAAAUCUCAUUCAUGGCGCAUUACAAAUGUCAUCCAUGUAUAAGUUGCACACAAAAAAAACCACACAGUAACCACUUAGCAGCAACAGCUACCACGUAACAAAACAAGGCGUUUCACUGAGAUUGAAGAUGCUGAUAACUCCUAAUUUUCCUUCUACUACUACAUACAUAAAACCCUAUACAAGUAAUGGAUGCCAAUUCAAUACCCAAGUUGAAAGUUCGGAACUUUUUGCUCCCUCUCAAUCCAUUGAUCACUUCCCAUAUUCUCUCGCUCUUCGAUUUCUCAAUUUUCAUCUCUAUGUGAUUGCUUGAAAAAACAAACUCCCUUAACCUACUCACAAAAAUAACCCUUCAAACCGGCGAACCACAACUAAACCGGUAACUAACCUUUUAACCUCCAACAGUAUGGAUAACCGAUUUUCCAACUGAAACACUCAACCGAUUUUCCAACUGAAACACUCAACUGAAUUCUAACUUCCUCCAACUGGCUCUAACCAAAUUUCCAACCGAUAUAACAGAACUUCAAUAAAAUCCAACAACCUGCAAACAAAAUGAACUAUCAUAACUUUCAUAACUGAAAACCAAAACUUCUAACAAAAUAUAUAACAGAAUCCUGCACCAAUGGUAAUGGAACUUCACUUCAAAAAAUAGAAAUCCAAAAACAAUGAGAACCCUCCAACAGAGUACAUAACUGGAUCCCACCUGCAUAAUAUUCAAGAAGAAAAACUCCUCAAAACUUCCACAACUCUUCACCCCCUUCACCCUCUUCAACCCUCAACCGCUGCAAGCAGCACUACCCAAAAAAAACUGAACAGAAAUUCCUCACAAUUUCAACCUCAACCUCCCUCAAAAUUCUGGCAACAAACCUUCCAUGGAAGAACCUCCUCCAACUUUCAUCUUCUAACUUGCAACCUCAACCAAAAUCCCCUAAUCGAACCACCUCGCAACCUUUCACAACGAACUUCACGACAAUCUUCAAACACAACACGAACAGAAAUGAGAAGAAGAAAAAACCUACUUCCAUAUAGAACCUUCUUCACUCUCCAACAACCUUUCAACAAAAACCUUCAUCACCUCCAGGAAUCGCAUCUUCCUCACCCUCUACUUCAUAGACGGAACCGCAAUACAGAAGCACCUCGAAAUCGCUACCGUCUAAAGAGGAAAGAGAAGAGUUAGGGGUAGCAAUGUGCAGGAGAAGAAGAACGUAACGAGCGGAGAAGAAAAUUGAAGAACGAAGUUACCCGGAUCGGAUAGUGAGGUCAGUGAGCUCUUUUCUUUUAUUUCCCCUUCCGAUUACGUUCAUUCCACGAAAAAACAUUGACGUCGACCUUGACCUCGACACCAUUCUCAACUCGAUAUUAAAUCUACGACCCGAAUCGAAGCGUCGGAAGCAUUUUGUUCCUGGUUAUUUGUGAAACGGAGAAAUCAAUUCAUGAGAUUCUUCGAGCGAUUACACCCAUGUUCGUGAGUAGGGUGGCGAUUCACAGGGUUCUUGGCGGAGUGUGUAAGUGGGAAUGUGUGGGUUCCUUCAAGCUGACCUAUUCAUGUUGGAACUCGAAUCUUGGAGCCGGAUGGAAGGAUUUGGGCCUUUCAUCCAAAACGUUUCCCAUAGCUCAAGCCCGAAGCAGAUUCUGUUCAUACUCCCCUUCAAUCCACCAUACACCCCAAGCUGGCCCAUGUUAAUGCUCAUUAAUAAGCCCUUAAUCCCCA